CUACCUUUGCACUUUAUUGGUUUACGUCUAUAAUUUUAUAGAUAUAAUUAAAAGGGAAUCAGGUAAAAUAGUUAUUAACUUAAUAAUCCUGAACUGUUCCCGCAACUGUAAGUUUAGUCCCUUUUUGGGAUGCCUCUAAUGAAAAUCUUCAACAUCCACUGUUCUUUUUAGAAUGGGAAGGACCAUUAGUAGGACACGAGUCAGGAGACCUGCCAAUUUUACCAACAAUUA
Molecule: non-coding RNA, 231 nt
Filed under: Winogradskyella psychrotolerans
Lineage: Bacteria; Pseudomonadati; Bacteroidota; Flavobacteriia; Flavobacteriales; Flavobacteriaceae
Source: RNAcentral